GUAAAAGUCGUAACAAGGUUCCUCGGACAUUAAAUUAAUCAAUAAUUUUUUACCAUACGGAAGCCUUGUAAGUGAUGGUCUGCUUUAUGCAGGCAACACUUGUACUGUCGCUGGAAAUAAUCCCUCAAUAUCGAGGUCAACCAGCUGCUGUAUGCUAAUGGCGUGCAGCCCACAGAUCAAACGCAAGUGGCCACGUACUAUUUUCUCCCAUCUCGACGUUUCAUCCGUCUCAGAUUUUCCCUUGUCGAACUGACCUUGAAGAGCUCUCUUUUCGACAACCAGGGUGAGACUAGAACGUUUCUUAUUAUACUGGAGAUAUUAGAUUGGUUCAGAUAUGACCGUAGCAAGCAUUGCAAAGUGCCUGAUGCCUAGUUCCGUAGGUGAACCUGCGGAAGGAUCAUUAAAGAGAAGGAAGUUUCGGCUUCCGGGGCUUCGGCCUCACCUCUUCACCCUAUGUUUACAUAUACCUCUGUUUCUUUGGCGAAUCUUGGGGUUUUCCCACGCCGAUAUAACUGUCGACGAGUAUUUGUCAGAGGCGUUUCUAUAAUUCUCGUUUUCAAUGCAGUCAGAGUAAACACAAAUGAACUAAAACUUUCAACAACGGAUCUCUUGGUUCUGGCAUCGAUGAAGAACGCAGCGAAAUGCGAUAAGUAAUGUGAAUUGCAGAAUUCAGUGAAUCAUCGAAUCUUUGAACGCACAUUGCGCUCCUCGGUAUUCCGGGGAGCAUGCCUGUUCGAGCGUCAUUGCACCUCUCAAGCGUAGCUUGGUAUUGAACAUGCGUCUUUAGCAGACGUGUUCGAAAAGGAGUGGCGGUUCAGUAUGACUUCAAGCGUAGUAAAUUUAUCCCGCUUUGGAAGAUUGUGCUUUGGCUUGCCGAAAUUACCCAUUUUCAAUGAUUGACCUCGGAUCAGGUAGGGAUACCCGCUGAACUUA
RNAcentral lists this ribosomal RNA (933 nucleotides) under uncultured Ascomycota. RNAcentral describes it as "eukaryotic LSU rRNA". The stretch from base 590 to 743 matches the Rfam family "5.8S ribosomal RNA". Lineage: Eukaryota; Fungi; Ascomycota. The record is from RNAcentral.